CGUAGGGUGCAAGCGUUAAUCGGAAUUACUGGGCGUAAAGCGUGCGCAGGCGGUUGGAUAAGACAGGUGUGAAAUCCCCGGGCUCAACCGGGGAACGACGCAUGAAACUGGCAAGCUAGAGUACCAAAGAGGCGGGUGGAAUUCCGGGUGUAGUGGUGAAAUGCGUAGAGAUCCGGAGGAACACCGGUGGCGAAGGCGGCCCGCUGGGCCGGCCCUGACGCUGAGGCGCGAAAGCGUGGGGAGCGAACUG
RNAcentral lists this ribosomal RNA (250 nucleotides) under uncultured bacterium. RNAcentral describes it as "partial 16S ribosomal RNA". It matches the Rfam family "Bacterial small subunit ribosomal RNA", at positions 526 to 775 of the family's 1533-position model. The record is from RNAcentral.